AUGGUUACUGAAACAAAAGCGAGAAUGGGUCAAGUCCGUCCCACCCUGACGGUGCUGCCCCCCUCUAGUGAGGAGAUAAAGAAGGGCCAUGCCACACUUACAUGUCUGGCCAACAAGGGCUUCCCCUCAGACUGGAGUCUGUCCUGGAAGGUGGACGGCAGCAGCAGCAGCAGCUAUGAGGAGAGCAGGAGCCCCGGGGUGCUGCAGAAGGACGGCCACUACAGCUGGAGCAGCACCCUGAGGGUCCCUGCAGACCAGUGGAGGAAGGUGGGCUCUGUGACCUGUGAGGCCACCCAGGGCUCCCAGACUCCACUCUCAGAGACACUGAGGAGAGACCAGUGUUCCCAGUACUGACAAGACUCAUAGGGACUCUCAUUCUGGUUUUCUUCUGUUACUUUCUCUCUUUUUUUUCUUCUGUUUUU
This is a non-coding RNA of Melanotaenia boesemani (Boeseman's rainbowfish), 422 nucleotides long. The record is from the annotation of a RefSeq genome assembly. NCBI's taxonomy places the organism in Eukaryota, Metazoa, Chordata, Actinopteri, Atheriniformes, Melanotaeniidae.